Molecule: ribosomal RNA, 247 nt
Filed under: Olea europaea subsp. europaea
Lineage: Eukaryota; Viridiplantae; Streptophyta; Magnoliopsida; Lamiales; Oleaceae
Description: Bacterial small subunit ribosomal RNA
Rfam family: Bacterial small subunit ribosomal RNA
Source: Rfam by way of RNAcentral
UGAAAAAACAGGGACCAAACAUAGCGAGAGUACAGUAUGGUAGGGUGAAUUUUCGGUGUAGCGGUGAAAUGCAUAGAGAUGUAAAGAACUUCAUCAGCAAAAGUACUUAGCUAGGCUGAAACUGAAACUGGGAGACGAAAGUUAGGGGAGCAAAUGGGAUUAGAUACCUCAAUAGUUCUAAUCGUAAACGAUGAAUACAAGGCGUGGUGUUGUACAAGUCGUUUCCGAUUCACUUUAAUGUAAACUA